Molecule: long non-coding RNA, 1515 nt
Filed under: Salvator merianae (Argentine black and white tegu)
Lineage: Eukaryota; Metazoa; Chordata; Lepidosauria; Squamata; Teiidae
Description: lncRNA (ENSSMRG00000003015.1)
Source: RNAcentral
UGGUGUACAAAGAAUAAAAACAGCUAAAAUNGUAAUUGUCAUAUAAAACUAUGAUUAAAAUCAAGGAUGGGAGAAACAUUCAUUCAUUCAUUCAUUCUGGAAAGGCCUGGGUAAAAGGAUAGGUUUUUAGUUGGCACCUAAAGUCCAAGAAGACUGUAGGCACCCUACAAAUAUCAGAGAGGAGACUAUUCCGGAGGGUAGANACCACCACAAAAAAGGCCCANCUGCAGGUAGUCAUAAAAUGACGUUCAGUGAUUUCCCACAGCAAGAUCAANAUGUAGUGCUUUUAAGGAGAUAUAAAGUGAUUACUACACCGACACAUAUAUUCUAGUUUUUUGUUAUAUUAAUUACAGUUAUCACUCAUAGAGUGUUUUUGCUUAUAUGCCAUUAAUAAAAUUUACUGCAGCCUUAAAGCAUCCUUAAAGCAAUCUCUGAAUUUGCUCUUAGGCCUUUGGGAGUCUGGUUCCCUUUGCUAAAAUGGCUCCCCCUAUUGGCCAAUCUCACUGUGGGUAUCAAUCAAUCAACAUGCAUGGAUAGCCCNGGAAGCCACGUUUCUGCUUCCGGAGCAGCCAGUUGGAGAAUGGCUGUCCAGUGAACUGUAUGGAUAGUCUGGAUCUCUUGUUUUCCUAGACAGAAGUGAGUCCCAGAGGAGUUCUUUAUGNGCGUCCAGGGGCAGUCUGGGCACUUCUACUGCCAAGGCAGUUACCUGUUAGUGGAACUGGUUAGUCAGGACAUCUGUGCCAUUACAGUUUCCCUGCAGGUUGAUCUCAGCAUAAAUAUCAGUCAACAUGCCUCCUGUUCAUCUUCUGAGUUCAUCAAAGGGAGAAGUGCCUCCACCCAGGCCUACCCCACCAUGCAGCCCCAGUCUGCACAACAAAGCCAGAAUACUCGACCGAGANCUCUUUAUAAUCCUUACGAUUUUACCUCCGAUGAACUUGACCCAGCCUGUGAGUGGCCAAGGGAAGCAUCUUCAGCGAAGGAACAUAAGACAGAACAGUGUUAGUAUACUUUUUAUGAGGAAAGUUGGACUCGGGUGUUUGAAAAUGAGACAUUGUAAAGUUUCUGGGAUCCUGCUAAAGCCUGCACAAANCAGGGACAACAAAAGGGAUUUGGGGUCAGCAGCUUGGAUGGCUUCAAAAAAAGUUUGGACCCAUUAAUGGAGGCACAGGACUAUCGAUGGCUAUUUGCUCUAUGGCAGUAGGAGGUGCUAUGCACCCUAAGAUCUGCUGGUGAGGCUCUCUUGGCCAUGCCACCCCUUUCACUAUUUAAGGGGUGAGGAUGUGUGGGAGGGCCUUCUCGGUCAUAGCCCCCAGGCUAUGGAACAGUCUCCCUUCUGAGGUAUGAAAGGCACCUUGUUGUAUGUAUUCAGAGUGAUUGGUGAAGACACACCUCUUUACCCUGGCCUUUGGCUGAGGGAGCAGCAAGCCUUCCCCAUGCAGCCACUGUCACUGUUUUAGCCAAUCUACUUUAUCUGCUUUUAUAAUGAUUUUAUUGUGACCUGCCCUGAGUCCUUCU